GAAAAUCUGAAGAUGACUAACUGAUCUUGACCUGCAACAGAAGUAGUUUGGCGGUUUUGGACGAACAAUAGGGUUCGUUCACCUAGAAGACAAGGAAGUGGAAAGCCAGAGGACUUUGUCUGCAAAAACAACAAAAGAUUCAGAUGUAAGCUGGAAAGCAGGAAGAAGGUCCUGACAACGAUUGGCUGGUCGGAGAAGAAGAAGCAGAAAGUUCUUCCUCUCUUGGGGAAAGAGUUAACAUUUCUCAAAUUGGAAAACCAAAUAAUAUGGAUUCAUCUACAUU
RNAcentral lists this long non-coding RNA (283 nucleotides) under Haliotis rubra (blacklip abalone). RNAcentral's name for it is "uncharacterized LOC124270419". Lineage: Eukaryota; Metazoa; Mollusca; Gastropoda; Lepetellida; Haliotidae. The record is from RNAcentral.